Molecule: ribosomal RNA, 658 nt
Filed under: uncultured bacterium
Lineage: Bacteria
Description: bacterial SSU rRNA
Rfam family: Bacterial small subunit ribosomal RNA
Source: RNAcentral
GUCGAGGGGUAAAUGGUAGCAAUACUAUGAGACCGGCGGACGGGUGCGUAACGCGUAUGCAACAUACCUUGUGCAGGGGGAUAGCCCGUGGAAACGCGGAUUAAUAUUCCGUAGUCCAGCUAUAUCGCAUGGUAUAGUUGGUAAAGAUUUAUCGGCACAAGUUUGGCAUGCGUCUGAUUAGCUUGUUGGUAGGGUAACGGCCUACCAAGGCUACGAUCAGUAGGGGUUCUGAGAGGAUUAACCCCCACACUGGUACUGAGACACGGACCAGACUCCUACGGGAGGCAGCAGUGAGGAAUAUUGGUCAAUGGGCGGAAGCCUGAACCAGCCAUCCCGCGUGAAGGAAGACAGCCUUACGGGUUGUAAACUUCUUUUCUGUCAGAAGAAUAAGCUUGUCGAGACGAGUGAUGCCGGUAUGACAGGAAUAAGCAUCGGCUAACUCCGUGCCAGCAGCCGCGGUAAUACGGAGGAUGCAAGCGUUAUCCGGAUUUAUUGGGUUUAAAGGGUGCGCAGGUUGUUUGAUAAGUCAGUGGUGAAAGUCUGUCGCUUAACGGUAGGAUUGCCAUUGAUACUGUUGGACUUGAAUAUGGAUGAGGUAGGCGGAAUGUGUAGUGUAGCGGUGAAAUGCAUAGAUAUUACACAGAACACCGAUUGCGAA